Molecule: ribosomal RNA, 824 nt
Filed under: Nocardioides sp.
Lineage: Bacteria; Bacillati; Actinomycetota; Actinomycetes; Propionibacteriales; Nocardioidaceae
Description: bacterial SSU rRNA
Rfam family: Bacterial small subunit ribosomal RNA
Source: RNAcentral
GGGGGGAUGCUUACCAUGCAGUCGAGCGGUAAGGCCCUUUCGGGGGUACACGAGCGGCGAACGGGUGAGUAACACGUGAGUAAUCUGCCCUUCACUUCGGGAUAAGCCUCGGAAACGGGGUCUAAUACCGGAUACGACACUUCCUCGCAUGAGGUGGGUGUGGAAAGUUUUUCGGUGGGGGAUGUGCUCGCGGCCUAUCAGCUUGUUGGUGGGGUAAUGGCCUACCAAGGCUUCGACGGGUAGCCGGCCUGAGAGGGUGACCGGCCACACUGGGACUGAGACACGGCCCAGACUCCUACGGGAGGCAGCAGUGGGGAAUAUUGGACAAUGGGCGGAAGCCUGAUCCAGCAACGCCGCGUGAGGGAUGACGGCCUUCGGGUUGUAAACCUCUUUCAGUACCGACGAAGCGGAAGUGACGGUAGGUACAGAAGAAGCACCGGCCAACUACGUGCCAGCAGCCGCGGUAAUACGUAGGGUGCGAGCGUUGUCCGGAAUUAUUGGGCGUAAAGGGCUCGUAGGCGGUUUGUCGCGUCGGGAGUGAAAACACUGGGCUUAACUCAGUGCUUGCUUCCGAUACGGGCAGACUAGAGGCAUGCAGGGGAGAACGGAAUUCCUGGUGUAGCGGUGAAAUGCGCAGAUAUCAGGAGGAACACCGGUGGCGAAGGCGGUUCUCUGGGCAUGUCCUGACGCUGAGGAGCGAAAGUGUGGGGAGCGAACAGGAUUAGAUACCCUGGUAGUCCACACCGUAAACGUUGGGCGCUAGGUGUGGGGCCUAUUCCAUGGGUUCCGUGCCGCAGCUAACGCAUUAAGCGCCCCGCCUGGGG